This 490-nucleotide ribosomal RNA is filed under the name Chaetomium globosum. Its description in RNAcentral is "SSU rRNA". It matches the Rfam family "Eukaryotic small subunit ribosomal RNA", at positions 54 to 548 of the family's 1831-position model. The record is from RNAcentral. Lineage: Eukaryota; Fungi; Ascomycota; Sordariomycetes; Sordariales; Chaetomiaceae.
CAUGUCUAAGUAUAAGCAAUUAUACCGCGAAACUGCGAAUGGCUCAUUAAAUCAGUUAUCGUUUAUUUGAUAGUACCUUACUACAUGGAUAACCGUGGUAAUUCUAGAGCUAAUACAUGCUAAAAAUCCCGACUUCGGAAGGGAUGUAUUUAUUAGAUUAAAAACCAAUGCCCUUCGGGGCUCUCUGGUGAUUCAUAAUAACUUCUCGAAUCGCACGGCCUUGCGCCGGCGAUGGUUCAUUCAAAUUUCUGCCCUAUCAACUUUCGACGGCUGGGUCUUGGCCAGCCGUGGUGACAACGGGUAACGGAGGGUUAGGGCUCGACCCCGGAGAAGGAGCCUGAGAAACGGCUACUACAUCCAAGGAAGGCAGCAGGCGCGCAAAUUACCCAAUCCCGACACGGGGAGGUAGUGACAAUAAAUACUGAUACAGGGCUCUUUCGGGUCUUGUAAUUGGAAUGAGUACAAUUUAAAUCCCUUAACGAGGAACAAU